UACGAAGGGACCUAGCGUAGUUCGGAAUUACUGGGCUUAAAGAGUUCGUAGGUGGUUGAAAAAGUUGGUGGUGAAAUCCCAGAGCUUAACUCUGGAACUGCCAUCAAAACUUUUCAGCUAGAGUAUGAUAGAGGAAAGCAGAAUUUCUAGUGUAGAGGUGAAAUUCGUAGAUAUUAGAAAGAAUACCAAUUGCGAAGGCAGCUUUCUGGAUCAUUACUGACACUGAGGAACGAAAGCAUGGGUAGCGAAGAGGAUUAGAUACCCUCGUAGUCCAUGCCGUAAACGAUGUGUGUUAGACGUUGGAAAUUUAUUUUCAGUGUCGCAGCGAAAGCGAUAAACACACCGCCUGGGGAGUACGACCGCAAGGUUAAAACUCAAAUGAAUUGACGGGGACCCGCACAAGUAGUGGAGCAUGUGGUUUAAUUCGAAGAUACGCGCAGAACCUUACCAACACUUGACAUGUUCGUCGCGACUCUAAGAGAUUAGAGUUUUCGGUUCGGCCGGACGAAGCACAGGUGCUGCAUGGCUGUCGUCAGCUCGUGUCGUGAGAUGUUGGGUUAAGUCCCGCAACGAGCGCAACCCUCACUUUUAGUUGCCAUCAUUAAGUUGGGCACUCUGAAGGAACUGCCAGUGAUAAGCUGGAGGAAGGUGGGGAUGACGUCAAGUCCUCAUGGCCCUUACGUGUUGGGCUACACACGUGCUACAAUGGUAUCUACAACAGGAAGCAAGACUGCGAAGUUAAGCAAAUCCCUAAAAGAUACCUCAGUUCGGAUUGCACUCUGCAACUCGAGUGCAUGAAGCUGGAAUUACUAGUAAUCGUGGAUCAGCGUGCCACGGUGAAUGCGUUCCCGGGUCU
Molecule: ribosomal RNA, 856 nt
Filed under: uncultured bacterium
Lineage: Bacteria
Description: SSU rRNA
Rfam family: Bacterial small subunit ribosomal RNA
Source: RNAcentral